CGCGUAGGCGGACAGUUAAGUCGGGGGUGAAAUCCCGGGGCUCAACCCCGGAACUGCCUUCGAUACUGGCUGUCUGGAGGACGGGAGAGGCGAGUGGAAUUCCGAGUGUAGAGGUGAAAUUCGUAGAUAUUCGGAGGAACACCCGUGGCGAAGGCGGCUCGCUGGCCCGUUACUGACGCUGAGGCGCGAAAGCGUGGGGAGCAAACA
Molecule: ribosomal RNA, 207 nt
Filed under: uncultured bacterium
Lineage: Bacteria
Description: partial 16S ribosomal RNA
Rfam family: Bacterial small subunit ribosomal RNA
Source: RNAcentral